UGCGCAGGCGGUCUUGCAAGUCAGAUGUGAAAGCCCCGGGCUUAACCUGGGAAUUGCAUCCGAAACUGCAUGGCUAGAGUAAAGGAGAGGGAAGUGGAAUUUCCGGUGUAGCGGUGAAAUGCGUAGAUACCGGAAGGAACACCAGUGGCGAAGGCGACUUCCUGGCCUAUUACUGACGCUGAGGCGCGAAAGCGUGGGGAGCAAACA
RNAcentral lists this ribosomal RNA (207 nucleotides) under uncultured bacterium. Its description in RNAcentral is "partial 16S ribosomal RNA". It matches the Rfam family "Bacterial small subunit ribosomal RNA", at positions 568 to 774 of the family's 1533-position model. The record is from RNAcentral.